UAGAAAGUCAUGGGUAGAAACUUCUA
This 26-nucleotide non-coding RNA is filed under the name Mus musculus (house mouse). The record is from RNAcentral. Lineage: Eukaryota; Metazoa; Chordata; Mammalia; Rodentia; Muridae.